CAAAGACAAGAAGGCAGGGGGGAAACUGAUCACUGUGGCUGAUGUUGUGAAGGAACACUGGGCAACUUAUGGAUUCUUUUCUAGAUAUGACUGAGGAAUGUGAAUCUGAAGGUGCCAAUAAAAUGGUAGCAUAUCUACGAGAGACUGCAUCAAAGAGCAAGAUUGGCGAUAAGUUCUAAUGAUAAUUUUGAUAGUUCUAAUGAUCUCCUAAGUUCUAACGGUGAACUUAUUUUGUCCUAAUUCAAUUAUUAGUUUUGUUAAAGUAUUGUAAUUUUUUAAUUACAAUUUUAGCAUGUAAAUAAUUCAUGUAAAUCAAUAAAAAAUCAAUUUUUUAUACA
Arachis duranensis is the source of this 338-nucleotide long non-coding RNA. RefSeq lists it as uncharacterized. The transcript is spliced from 2 exons. The record is from RefSeq and is a predicted model, not a curated record. NCBI's taxonomy places the organism in Eukaryota, Viridiplantae, Streptophyta, Magnoliopsida, Fabales, Fabaceae.